RNA transcript from Hippopotamus amphibius kiboko, 2245 nucleotides. It is a transcript of the gene named succinate-CoA ligase ADP-forming subunit beta, with no coding region annotated. The record is from RefSeq and is a predicted model, not a curated record. Lineage: Eukaryota; Metazoa; Chordata; Mammalia; Artiodactyla; Hippopotamidae. The transcript is spliced from 12 exons.
GCGCCCAGGGGACUGGGUCGGACUCAGAAAUGGCGGCCUCCGUGUUCUACAGCCGGCUGUUGGCUGCCGCCACCCUUAGGAGUCACCGGCCCCGGACGGCGCUGCGGGACGCCACCCAGGUUCUGGGAAGUUCUGGAUUAUUUAACAACCAUGGACUCCAAAUACAGCAGCAACAGCAAAGGAAUCUCUCACUACAUGAAUACAUGAGUAUGGAAUUGUUGCAAGAAGCUGGCGUCUCCAUUCCCAAAGGACAUGUGGCUAAGUCACCAGAUGAGGCUUAUGCAAUUGCCAAAAAAUUAGGUUCAAAAGAUGUUGUGAUAAAGGCACAAGUUUUAGCUGGUGGUAGAGGAAAAGGAACAUUUGAAAGUGGCCUCAAAGGAGGAGUGAAAAUAGUCUUCUCUCCAGAAGAAGCAAAAGCUGUUUCCUCACAAAUGAUUGGGAAAAAGUUGUUUACCAAGCAAACGGGAGAAAAGGGCAGAAUAUGCAAUCAAGUAUUGGUUUGUGAGCGAAGAUAUCCCAGGAGAGAAUACUACUUUGCAAUAACAAUGGAAAGGUCAUUUCAAGGUCCUGUGUUGAUAGGAAGUUCUCACGGUGGUGUCAACAUUGAAGAUGUUGCUGCUGAGACUCCUGAGGCCAUAGUUAAAGAACCUAUUGAUAUCGUAGAAGGCAUCAAAAAGGAACAAGCUGUUCGGCUUGCACAGAAGAUGGGCUUUCCAGCCAAUAUUGUGGAUUCUGCAGCGGAAAACAUGAUCAAGCUUUACGACCUUUUUCUGAAAUAUGAUGCAACCAUGGUAGAAAUAAAUCCAAUGGUAGAGGAUUCAGAUGGAGCUGUGCUAUGUAUGGAUGCAAAGAUCAAUUUUGAUUCUAAUUCAGCUUAUCGCCAGAAGAAAAUCUUUGACUUGCAGGACUGGACCCAGGAAGAUGAAAGGGACAAAGAUGCAGCUAAGGCAGAUCUCAACUACAUUGGCCUAGAUGGAAAUAUAGGCUGUCUAGUAAAUGGUGCUGGUUUGGCAAUGGCCACAAUGGAUAUAAUAAAACUUCAUGGAGGGACUCCAGCCAACUUUCUUGAUGUUGGUGGUGGUGCCACGGUCCAUCAAGUAACAGAAGCAUUUAAACUUAUCACUUCAGAUAAAAAGGUACUGUCUAUUCUGGUCAACAUUUUUGGAGGAAUCAUGCGUUGUGAUGUUAUUGCACAGGGUAUAGUCAUGGCAGUAAAGGAUUUGGAAAUUAAAAUACCUAUUGUGGUACGGUUACAAGGUACACGAGUUGAUGAUGCUAAGGCACUGAUAGCAGACAGUGGACUUAAAAUUCUUGCUUGUGAUGACUUGGACGAAGCUGCUAAAAUGAUGAAUGAAUAAAGAAGAUGUAGUAUAUAUAUGCAAUUGAAUACUACUCAGCUGUAAAAAAGAAUGAAAGAAUGCCAUUUGCAGCAACCUGGAUUGACCUAGAGAUUACCACACUAAAUGAAGUUGUAAAGCUCUCUGAGAUAGUGACCUUGGCCAAGCAAGCCCAGGUGGAUGUGAAAUUUCAGUUGCCAAUCUGAUCUGAGAACCCUGUGGUUGGCCUAAGAUGUUAAAUGUGUUAUAAUUGUUAAAAAUACUGUGUUCUGUAUUAUUAUUGUUCCUUUUCUCUUUAGCGUGUGAAGAUUGUGAUUACCGUCUAGGCACAAAAACUUUUAGAAGCAUUUGGUCUGCAUUAAAUUCUGUUCAGAAUGGGCUGUUUGUGUAAAGAAAGUGUAAUGCAGUUAUCUAGUUUGUUUUGUUGCAGCUUUCUUUUUCACUUUUACAGAAUGUCACUUGCAAUAUGCCAGUUUAUUAUUGUUGGGUACAGCAUUCUUCAUUGAUAAGAGUCUUAUGAAUAAAACAAAUAUGAAGAUAAAGCUUUAUUCUUUAGUGUUAGAAAUGUAUUAUAUCUAAUAACUAGUUUCACUUGUAGAGCAGUGUAUUAAAACAAUGUUUUAUAUAAGAAGUGUUUAUCUUCAGCACUAAAUACCUAACUAAAUAUAUCAGUCACUAUUUAUAAACAGGUCUUUCAAACACUCCCUAGAAUAUUCUUUUAAGUAUUUCAGUGAAGUAACUUGUGAAUUAUCCGAACAUUGUUUUAAUCAUUACAAAACUGAUAAAUGCAAGUCCUCAUAAUCAUGUGGUAUUGAGAAGAAUGUAUCAAAUAAGGAUAUACUUACUAAGGACUCAGCAGACAAAAUUAACAAUGUCAAUUUAAAUUAAUAAAAAUUCUCCCAAUGUGA